CCUACGGGAGGCAGCAGUGGGGAAUAUUGGUCAAUGGGCGCAAGCCUGACCCAGCAACGCCACGUGAAGGAAGAAGGCUUUCGGGUUGUAAACUUCUUUUUUCAGGGAAGAGUAGAAGACGGUACCUGACGAAUAAGCAACGGCUAACUACGUUCCAGCAGCCGCGGUAAUACGUAGGUGGCAAGCGUUGUCCGGAUUUACUGGGUGUAAAGGGCGUGUAGCCGGGUUGACAAGUCAGAUGUGAAAUCCUGCGGCUUAACCGCAGAACUGCAUUUGAAACUGUUGAUCUUGAGUACUGGAGAGGCAGAUGGAAUUCCUAGUGUAGCGGUGAAAUGCGUAGAUAUUAGGAGGAACACCAGGGGCGAAGGCGGUCUGCUGGACAGCAACUGACGGUGAGGCGCGAAAGCGUGGGGAGCAAACAGGAUUAGAUACCCCUGUAGUC
Molecule: ribosomal RNA, 442 nt
Filed under: uncultured bacterium
Lineage: Bacteria
Description: partial 16S ribosomal RNA
Rfam family: Bacterial small subunit ribosomal RNA
Source: RNAcentral